Molecule: ribosomal RNA, 771 nt
Filed under: Funneliformis caledonium
Lineage: Eukaryota; Fungi; Glomeromycota; Glomeromycetes; Glomerales; Glomeraceae
Description: eukaryotic LSU rRNA
Rfam family: Eukaryotic large subunit ribosomal RNA
Source: RNAcentral
GCAUAUCAAUAAGCGGAGGAAAAGAAAAUAACAAUGAUUCCCUCAGUAACGGCGAGCGAAGAGGGAUAAGCUCAAAUUUUAAAUCUGUUGGGUUUCACCUAACAGAGUUGUAUUUUGAAGAAACGUUUUCUGCGUCCAGGAUUAGCCUAAAUCCUUUGGGAUAGGGUAUCAUGGAGGGUGAGAAUCCCGUUCAUGGUUAAUCUUAAGGAUGCUCUACGAUACGUUCUCCAAGAGUCGAGUUGUUUGGGAUUGCAGCUCAAAAUGGGAGGUAAAUUUCUCCUAAGGCUAAAUAUUGGCGAGAGACCGAUAGCGAACAAGUACCGUGAGGGAAAGAUGAAAAGAACUUUGAAAAGAGAGUUAAACAGUACGUGAAAUUGUUGAAAGGGAAACGAUUGAAGUCAGUCAUACUAACGGGAAAUCAACCUCUUGAGUUUGGUCUCGUGGGUUUCGAAGAGUAGUUUUAAAAGCCUUCGGAUUUUCGAGAUUGGGCUCUUCUGGUGUACUUUCUCGUACGGUUAGUCAACAUCGGUUUUGAAUGUCAUAAAAUGACUGGAGGAAUGUGGCUUCGAUCUCGUAUUGAAGUGUUAUAGCCUUUGGUAGAUGUGAUGUUUGAGACCGAGGAUUGCAACGGAUACCCUUCUGGGCUAUUCGUCUGAUCUCUGAAACGUUGCCUUGAUGUCGAAAGCUUGCUUAUGAUGUUAGGGUAUUACGGUCAAAAGGUUAGAACGGAUUAAAUUCGUUAAGGAUGUUGACGUAAUGGCUUUAAACGAC